This is a non-coding RNA of Labeo rohita (rohu), 522 nucleotides long. The record is from the annotation of a RefSeq genome assembly. NCBI's taxonomy places the organism in Eukaryota, Metazoa, Chordata, Actinopteri, Cypriniformes, Cyprinidae.
UCCUUCAUGAUAACAGAUCCAAAAGCAAACAUGACUUUAAUAGCCAUCAUUAUUUGGACACUCACAACCUGCACCUGGAGUUCUGUGGGGCAAAUUCUGACUCAAUCUGAAGAUCAAACAGUGAAGCCUGAUCAGACUGUCACUAUUCACUGUAAUCAUAAACCAGCAGUAAACCGUUUUAAAACAGAGCGAGCUUCAGGUGUUUCUUCUAGAUUCAGUGGCAGUGAAAGUGGAAACCACAUGGAUUUUACUCUGACCAUCAGUGGAGUCCAGCCUGAAGAUUCAGGAGUUUAUUACUGUCAGAGUCUAUAUAACAAGGGAGUCUCUGGCACCACAGACUUGGUGUUCACACAGUGUAAAAGCAUCAUACAAAAACCUACUUGUGUGAGACUGCAGCGUUGCAGCUUUGAGCUUCUGCAGAUGUUGAUGUUGAAGAUCCUUAUUCACCUCACUGACUUUACACACAAACACACACAUACACAGAGAUUCUUUAAGGCUGAUGAACUCCCAUUGAUUCUAUGA